Mastomys coucha (southern multimammate mouse) is the source of this 1551-nucleotide long non-coding RNA. RefSeq lists it as uncharacterized. The transcript has 5 exons. The record is from RefSeq and is a predicted model, not a curated record. NCBI's taxonomy places the organism in Eukaryota, Metazoa, Chordata, Mammalia, Rodentia, Muridae.
ACCAGGUACAAAAAUACACAGCAUCAGAGGAUGGGAGAAUUUUGUAAAAAGAGAAAUAGAGAAUUAAAUAUCGUAACUCUGUGUGAAGCACUAGUAAUCCUAGGCUCAUGACUGAAUCUUGCAGGUGUGGAACAGAACUCUGAACCACUCACAACCCCAAGCUCAUCACUGAAUCUCCCAGGUGUGGAACAGAACUCAGAACCACUCACAACCCCAAGCUCAUCACUGAAUCUCGCAGGUGUGGAACAGAUCUGAGCAGGAGGUACAGUAAAGGCUUUGAGGGCAGAACUGUGAUUAAAACCUCCACUGAUCACAGCCAAGACUAAACAGUUGGGAUUGGGACACAUGCAUGGGAAUGAAGGUUUGGAGUGAGCAACAAAGGCGUCAACAACUGAAUGGACAUCCCCUUCCUCCACUGAACAUGGACUGGGAACAUGAUCAGCCUUCCAGCUUUAGAACUGCCCAAAUGCCAAGUGCAAACAUGGGGUGGAGGAGGAGGAGGAAGUCGCCUUUGCCUUAGUGCCGUGCUCAGCGAUGUAUGUCGGAGAUGACACCUGUUCAAUGCACCAGAAGCCCCCAUAGAUUCAUCAGGAUCCUACUCAUAGAACACAGAUUCCCUAAAGGGGAAAGUGUGACCACAACUCCAUUGGUGAAUAAUACACUUGAAGGAUGUGUGCAUAUGCAGUGCCCAAGGAGGCCAGAAGAGACUUCAUCUGAAGCUGAAGCCACCAAGUGCAUGCUGGGAACUGAACCCUAGUCCUCUAUAAAAGCAGUAAGUUCUCUCAACUGCAGAGCCAUCUCUCCAGCCCCCUAGAAGGAUCAACCUACUGACCCAGAGAGAAUCGAGUACAGACCUGUAUUAGCAUCCUCCAGAUUUCUCCUUCUGGGCUUCUGGUGUAUUGGACAGUGCUGCCACAAUCAGAGUGGAUCUCUCUCAUCAUCCCCAGUCACUAUCCCCUAUGUCACCUCUCUCUGGAAACUCCCCCACCGAUACACCCAGAAGUGAACAUUGACAGCCACAUUGACAGCCAAAAGCAACCAUCAAAGAAGGUGAUGAGGUAAGGAGGCGGGGCGUUCAUGGAUGCGACUAGUGCAUUUACAGAAAAGGGCUAAGAGAGGCUCAUUUUCCUUUCAGGUGAAGAACAGAGAGAGUUCCGUCUGUGUGAGCCUUUAGCAGAUGUGGCAUUUACUUGGUCACCUUGAACUUCCUAGCCUCACAAUGGUGUUCCUAUUUUCCUCUGUUAAGCUGUUAUCCCUAAGUGCUAAACCUCUCGUGCACAAUGCAAACAACAGCAUUGCACACAGGAAUCCAGAAAUGGACCCUUUCCAAGGCCCAGUCAGCUCGCUAUGCUUCAUCCAACUGUGGACCCACACCUUUGAAUCAAUAGAAGCCAGAGUUCUAACACCUGUGAUCAAUCCAUUGCGCUUGUAUUGUUCAUGGUAUUUUCACUGCAGCCUUUUGAACUGGGAAUUAUUAUCCUUGUGGUGCACAGAGGAAAAAUAAAGCACAGGACUUUGUGACGAUUUGUCCAAAGCCUCUUAGACCAGAAA